AGUAGUUGAUCAUGGCUCAGGACGACGCUGGCGGCGUGCUUAACACAUGCAAGUCGAACGGGGAUAGCGUUGGAAGUCCUUCGGGGUGGAAGAUGCUAUUCGAGUGGCGGACGGGUGAGUAACGCGUGAACAAUCUGUCCCAGACAGGGGGAUAACACUUGGAAACAGGUGCUAAUACCGCAUAAGACCACGGUGUCGCAUGGCACAGGGGUAAAAGGAGCGAUCCGGUUUGGGGUGAGUUCGCGUCCGAUUAGCCAGUUGGCGGGGUAACGGCCCACCAAAGCGACGAUCGGUAGCCGAUCUGAGAGGAUGACCGGCCACAUUGGAACUGAGAGACGGUCCAAACUCCUACGGGAGGCAGCAGUGGGGAAUAUUGGGCAAUGGGCGAAAAAGCCUGACCCAGCAACGCCGCGUGAGUGAAGAAGGCCUUCGGGUUGUAAAGCUCUGUUAUAGGGGACGAAGGAAGUGACGGUACCCUAUAAGGAAGCCCCGGCUAACUACGUGCCAGCCGCCGC
Molecule: ribosomal RNA, 515 nt
Filed under: uncultured bacterium
Lineage: Bacteria
Description: bacterial SSU rRNA
Rfam family: Bacterial small subunit ribosomal RNA
Source: RNAcentral